AGGACGAACGCUGGCGGCGUGCUUCAUACAUGCAAGUCGAACGAUAAGGUCUCUUCGGAGAUACAUAAGUGGCGGACGGGUGAGUAAAAUGUAGAGAAUCUGCCCUAGAGAUGGGGACAACAGUUGGAAACGACUGCUAAUACCCAAUAUGAGCGUAGUUGAAAUACUAUUCUUGAAAACUCCGGUGCUCUGGGAUGAGUCUGCAUCUGAUUAGCUAGUUGGAGGUGUAAUGGACCACCAAGGCGACGAUCAGUAGCUGGUUUGAGAGGAUGAUCAGCCACAAUGGGACUGAGACACGGCCCAUACUCCUACGGGAGGCAGCAGUAGGGAAUUUUGCGCAAUGGGGGAAACCCUGAACCGCAGCAACGCCGCGUGAAUGAAGAAGCCCUUCGGGGUGUAAAGUUCUGUCAGUAGGGAAGAAUAAAUGACUGUACCUACAGAGGAAGCAUCGGCUAACUCCGUGCCAGCCGCCGC
RNAcentral lists this ribosomal RNA (474 nucleotides) under uncultured bacterium. RNAcentral's name for it is "bacterial SSU rRNA". It matches the Rfam family "Bacterial small subunit ribosomal RNA", at positions 26 to 518 of the family's 1533-position model. The record is from RNAcentral.